UACGUAGGGUGCAAGCGUUAAUCGGAAUUACUGGGCGUAAAGCGUGCGCAGGCGGUGAUGUAAGACAGUUGUGAAAUCCCCGGGCUCAACCUGGGAACUGCAUCUGUGACUGCAUCGCUGGAGUGCGGCAGAGGGGGAUGGAAUUCCGCGUGUAGCAGUGAAAUGCGUAGAUAUGCGGAGGAACACCGAUGGCGAAGGCAAUCCCCUGGGCCUGCACUGACGCUCAUGCACGAAAGCGUGGGGAGCAAACA
Molecule: ribosomal RNA, 251 nt
Filed under: uncultured Hylemonella sp.
Lineage: Bacteria; Pseudomonadati; Pseudomonadota; Betaproteobacteria; Burkholderiales; Comamonadaceae
Description: partial 16S ribosomal RNA
Rfam family: Bacterial small subunit ribosomal RNA
Source: RNAcentral